Molecule: ribosomal RNA, 399 nt
Filed under: uncultured bacterium
Lineage: Bacteria
Description: bacterial SSU rRNA
Rfam family: Bacterial small subunit ribosomal RNA
Source: RNAcentral
GGGGAAUAUUGGACAAUGGGCGCAAGCCUGAUCCAGCCAUGCCGCGUGGAUGAUGAAGGCCCUAGGGUUGUAAAGUCCUUUUAACGGGGAAGAUAAUGACGGUACCCGUAGAAUAAGCCCCGGCUAACUUCGUGCCAGCAGCCGCGGUAAUACGAAGGGGGCUAGCGUUGCUCGGAAUCACUGGGCGUAAAGCGCACGUAGGCGGGUCGCUAAGUCAGGGGUGAAAUCCUGGAGCUUAACUCCAGAACUGCCUUUGAUACUGGCGACCUUGAGUCCGGGAGAGGUGAGUGGAACUGCGAGUGUAGAGGUGAAAUUCGUAGAUAUUCGCAAGAACACCAGUGGCGAAGGCGGCUCACUGGCCCGGUACUGACGCUGAGGUGCGAAAGCGUGGGGAGCAAA